UACGUAGGGUGCAAGCGUUGUCCGGAUUUAUUGGGUUUAAAGGGUGCGUAGGCGGCCCUGUAAGUCAGUGGUGAAAUACUCUAGCUUAACUAGAGGGGUGCCAAUGAUACUGCAGGGCUUGAGUACAGAUGAGGUAGGCGGAAUGUGACAAGUAGCGGUGAAAUGCAUAGAUAUGUCACAGAACACCAAUUGCGAAGGCAGCUUACUAUGGUGCAAUUGACGCUGAGGCACGAAAGCGUGGGGAUCAAACAGG
This 253-nucleotide ribosomal RNA is filed under the name uncultured prokaryote. Its description in RNAcentral is "partial 16S ribosomal RNA". It matches the Rfam family "Bacterial small subunit ribosomal RNA", at positions 524 to 776 of the family's 1533-position model. The record is from RNAcentral.